Molecule: non-coding RNA, 74 nt
Organism: Budorcas taxicolor (takin)
Lineage: Eukaryota; Metazoa; Chordata; Mammalia; Artiodactyla; Bovidae
Source: the annotation of a RefSeq genome assembly
UUCCUGAUGGCUCAGACGGUAAAAGCGUCUGCCUACGAAGCAGGAGACCCAGGUUCGAUCCCUGGGUCGCGAAG